AGUCGAACGAUGAACCACUUCGGUGGGGAUUAGUGGCGAACGGGUGAGUAACACGUGGGCAAUCUGCCCUUCACUCUGGGACAAGCCCUGGAAACGGGGUCUAAUACCGGAUAUCACUUCCACUCGCAUGGGUGGGGGUUGAAAGCUCCGGCGGUGAAGGAUGAGCCCGCGGCCUAUCAGCUUGUUGGUGAGGUAAUGGCUCACCAAGGCGACGACGGGUAGCCGGCCUGAGAGGGCGACCGGCCACACUGGGACUGAGACACGGCCCAGACUCCUACGGGAGGCAGCAGUGGGGAAUAUUGCACAAUGGGCGAAAGCCUGAUGCAGCGACGCCGCGUGAGGGAUGACGGCCUUCGGGUUGUAAACCUCUUUCAGCAGGGAAGAAGCGAAAGUGACGGUACCUGCAGAAGAAGCGCCGGCUAACUACGUGCCAGCAGCCGCGGUAAUACGUAGGGCGCAAGCGUUGUCCGGAAUUAUUGGGCGUAAAGAGCUCGUAGGCGGUCUGUCACGUCGGAUGUGAAAGCCCGGGGCUUAACCCCGGGUCUGCAUUCGAUACGGGCAGACUAGAGUGUGGUAGGGGAGAUCGGAAUUCCUGGUGUAGCGGUGAAAUGCGCAGAUAUCAGGA
This 625-nucleotide ribosomal RNA is filed under the name Streptomyces sp. D1502. RNAcentral describes it as "bacterial SSU rRNA". It matches the Rfam family "Bacterial small subunit ribosomal RNA", at positions 60 to 702 of the family's 1533-position model. The record is from RNAcentral. Lineage: Bacteria; Bacillati; Actinomycetota; Actinomycetes; Kitasatosporales; Streptomycetaceae.